Long non-coding RNA from Oreochromis aureus, 419 nucleotides. RefSeq lists it as uncharacterized. NCBI's taxonomy places the organism in Eukaryota, Metazoa, Chordata, Actinopteri, Cichliformes, Cichlidae. The transcript has 2 exons. The record is from RefSeq and is a predicted model, not a curated record.
GGCCGACAUCCAAUUCAUGAACGGCUGGGUGCAAGAUUUGUCCAUCUUUAUGCCUCCACGCUGCGAGUACGUUGUCGUUAAGACAAAGGUACUGCACUCACAACGACUGAAUGAAACUGCACUCCAACCACUGUGACCUCGUUUGUGUGGACACAGAGAGACCUUGCUGUGAUACGCAUCUUCCCUGAUGUGGAUUUCUGGGAACCACGUUUAAAGCAAGCACAAGAUUUCUUUCUUAAAGUGUGCCUUCCUGAACUUGUUGGGAAAUACUUCUCCAAACAAUGUGCUGCUCUAAAUAGCCUGUAAUGUUUCAUUUUGUGGUUCAAGAUUGAUGCCAGCUGUGUGUUGCCAUGUAAAUAGUUUGGAUUUCAUUUUUAUGUACUUGCUAAGUACAUGUGAACAGAUCAAGAAUAAAAAAA